CCUACGGGAGGCAGCAGUGGGGAAUAUUGCACAAUGGGCGCAAGCCUGAUGCAGCAACGCCGCGUGAGGGACGACGGCCUUCGGGUUGUAAACCUCUUUUAGUAGGGAAGAAGCGAAAGUGACGGUACCUGCAGAAAAAGCACCGGCUAACUACGUGCCAGCAGCCGCGGUAAUACGUAGGGUGCAAGCGUUGUCCGGAAUUAUUGGGCGUAAAGAGCUCGUAGGCGGUUUGUCGCGUCUGCUGUGAAAACCCCGAGGCUCAACCUCGGGCCUGCAGUGGGUACGGGCAGACUAGAGUGCGGUAGGGGAGAUUGGAAUUCCUGGUGUAGCGGUGGAAUGCGCAGAUAUCAGGAGGAACACCGAUGGCGAAGGCAGAUCUCUGGGCCGUAACUGACGCUGAGGAGCGAAAGCAUGGGGAGCGAACAGGAUUAGAUACCCUGGUAGUCCAUGCGUAACGUUAGGUAACGUAGAUGUAGGACGACUACCUACGGUUACGUUGUGUCGCGAGCUACGUACAUUAACGUUACCCGUCCGUCGGGUAGGUACGGCCGCGACGACGUAAACCUAACAAACGGAAGUUAGACGGCGUGAGACGUGCCGACGACGACGACGAGGGAGGUAGG
RNAcentral lists this ribosomal RNA (623 nucleotides) under uncultured bacterium. RNAcentral's name for it is "bacterial SSU rRNA". The stretch from base 1 to 532 matches the Rfam family "Bacterial small subunit ribosomal RNA", at positions 338 to 873 of the family's 1533-position model. The record is from RNAcentral.